Molecule: unclassified non-coding RNA, 459 nt
Filed under: Hevea brasiliensis (rubber tree)
Lineage: Eukaryota; Viridiplantae; Streptophyta; Magnoliopsida; Malpighiales; Euphorbiaceae
Source: RNAcentral
GGCCUCCCUCCAAAGUGUCCAACACCAUAUAUGAUCCAAAUGCAGAAAAGCAUACUGCUGAAAUAGCUUGAUGCAUUGCCCUCUUCUUGCAGAGGGAGGAUGUCAGAUAACUUAUUCAUCCUGAUGGUGAUUUGAUAAAGCAUUUUGCAAUCUUCUGAUUCAUUAUGGAGCAAUUGUGAAUAUGUAGAUCUUUUUCAUCAUGGUCAUCAAUCAGUUUGUAUGCUUCUAGAUCGCUCAACUGCAUCACUGAUGCAUUCUUUACUGAAAGCAUCUUUUCAAAAUCUUGCAAAACAAGAAAUUGGAAAGAGAAAAAAAAAAAAGGAACAAAAACACAUUUCUUUUCAAAAUCUUGCAAACGAGAAAUUGGAAGAGGAAAAAAAAAAGGAACAAAUAGACAUUUCUAGUUCUGUAUCAUCUUGUGUUGUUCAUUUGUGUUGGGAAAUUGAGAUGCACCUACAG